AGUGAACGCUGGCGGUAGGCCUAACACAUGCAAGUCGAACGGCAGCACAGUAAGAGCUUGCUCUUACGGGUGGCGAGUGGCGGACGGGUGAGGAAUACAUCGGAAUCUACUUUUUCGCGGGGGAUAACGUAGGGAAACUUACGCUAAUACCGCAUACGACCUACGGGUGAAAGCAGGGGAUCUUCGGACCUUGCGCGAUUGAAUGAGCCGAUGUCGGAUUAGCUAGUUGGCGGGGUAAAGGCCCACCAAGGCGACGAUCCGUAGCUGGUCUGAGAGGAUGAUCAGCCACACUGGAACUGAGACACGGUCCAGACUCCUACGGGAGGCAGCAGUGGGGAAUAUUGGACAAUGGGCGCAAGCCUGAUCCAGCCAUACCGCGUGGGUGAAGAAGGCCUUCGGGUUGUAAAGCCCUUUUGUUGGGAAAGAAAAGCAGCAGGUUAAUACCCCGCUGUUCUGACGGUACCCAAAGAAUAAACACCGGCUAACUUCGU
Molecule: ribosomal RNA, 491 nt
Filed under: uncultured bacterium
Lineage: Bacteria
Description: partial 16S ribosomal RNA
Rfam family: Bacterial small subunit ribosomal RNA
Source: RNAcentral